RNAcentral lists this ribosomal RNA (472 nucleotides) under uncultured bacterium. RNAcentral's name for it is "partial 16S ribosomal RNA". It matches the Rfam family "Bacterial small subunit ribosomal RNA", at positions 28 to 507 of the family's 1533-position model. The record is from RNAcentral.
GACGAACGCUGGCGGCGUGCUUAACACAUGCAAGUCGAGCGGAAAGGCCCUUCGGGGUACUCGAGCGGCGAACGGGUGAGUAACACGUGAGUAAUCUGCCCUUGGCUUUGGGAUAACUACCGGAAACGGUGGCUAAUACCGGAUACGACAACCGUCUGCAUGGGCUGGUUGUGGAAAGUUUUUUCGGCCAGGGAUGUGCUCGCGGCCUAUCAGCUUGUUGGUGGGGUAAUGGCCUGCCAAGGCUUCGACGGGUAGCCGGCCUGAGAGGGUGACCGGCCACACUGGGACUGAGACACGGCCCAGACUCCUACGGGAGGCAGCAGUGGGGAAUAUUGGACAAUGGGCGGAAGCCUGAUCCAGCAACGCCGCGUGAGGGAUGACGGCCUUCGGGUUGUAAACCUCUUUCAGUACCGACGAAGCGCCGAUGAUGGUGGUGACGGUAGGUACAGAAGAAGCACCGGCCAACUACGUG